RNAcentral lists this ribosomal RNA (368 nucleotides) under uncultured organism. RNAcentral's name for it is "partial 16S ribosomal RNA". It matches the Rfam family "Bacterial small subunit ribosomal RNA", at positions 527 to 896 of the family's 1533-position model. The record is from RNAcentral.
GUAGGGUCCAAGCGUUAAUCGGAAUUACUGGGCGUAAAGCGUGCGCAGGCGGUUGUGCAAGACCGAUGUGAAAUCCCCGAGCUUAACUUGGGAAUUGCAUUGGUGACUGCACGGCUAGAGUGUGUCAGAGGGGGGUAGAAUUCCACGUGUAGCAGUGAAAUGCGUAGAGAUGUGGAGGAAUACCGAUGGCGAAGGCAGCCCCCUGGGAUAACACUGACGCUCAUGCACGAAAGCGUGGGGAGCAAACAGGAUUAGAUACCUGGUAGUCCACGCCCCUAAACGAUGUCAACUAGUUGUUGGGGAUUCAUUUCCUUAGUAACGUAGCUAACGCGUGAAGUUGACCGCCUGGGAGUACGGUCGCAAGAUUA